This 429-nucleotide ribosomal RNA is filed under the name uncultured bacterium. Its description in RNAcentral is "bacterial SSU rRNA". It matches the Rfam family "Bacterial small subunit ribosomal RNA", at positions 355 to 801 of the family's 1533-position model. The record is from RNAcentral.
UGGGGAAUAUUGCGCAAUGGGCGAAAGCCUGACGAUGCGACGCCGCGUGGGUGACGAAGGCCUUAGGGUUGUAAAACUCUUUCGUCGGGGACGAUAAUGACGGUACCCGAAGAAGAAGCUCCGGCUAACUUCGUGCCAGCAGCCGCGGUAAUACGAAGGGAGCUAGCGUUGUUCGGAAUCACUGGGCGUAAAGCGCACGUAGGCGGAUAGUUAAGUCAGGGGUGAAAUCCUGGGGCUCAACCCCAGAACUGCCUUUGAUACUGGCUGUCUCGAGGUCGAGAGAGGAUGGCGGAAUACCCCAAGUAGAGGUGAAAUGCGUAGAUAUCGGGAGGAACACCAGUGGCGAAAGCGCCUUGCUGGACCAUUACUGACGCUAAGGAACGAAAGCCAGGGUAGCGAAAGGGAUUAGAUACCCAUGUAGUCCCUGAG